CCCAAAUGCAUGCUUUACAAUUAUUCUAUUUAUUUUUUUUCUCAAUAUUCAAACUUCAUUUCUUUGGGAAAAUAAUCAGGUAUUAUUUCAAGUUAGUGCAGAGUGCCACAGCAAUUCAGUAAUAAAACAGAUAUGUUGAUCAAAUUUCUGAUUGCAUUGUCAACAAAAAAUGCCUAAGAUUAUACUUCCUAAACAAUGUUAGUGAAAUAUCCCCUGGAAAAGAAUACCUUUCAAAAAAAAAAAAAAAAAAAAAGUUUCCAUUUGCAAGGAGCAAUUCUAAGUAGCUUUCAGAAUUACUUAAGACCUUACUUUGAGAAAAUGGCUGUCUAUUUAUAGUAAAUGCAGAUGAUCUCCUGUGUCACAUAAUUUUUCACUCCAUCUCACAGUAAAAACUCUUUAGAAAUAUCAUAAUAUAUUCUCAAUGCAAGGCUGAAAUCCUUGCCUUCAAUCCUGGUUUUAUUCCUUUGGAAAAAAAAAAAAAAAAAAAAAAAAAAAAGCACAAUUUUCUUAGAGAUUAUUUUCUUCUCUGUCUCAAGAAAAAUCAUACUAAGUCAAAUUGGAACAAAAUUGUUAAGUACCUGCACAUAUCAGAAGGGCUCUGUGCAAUAUUUGAGUGAAGAUUAACAGUUAUUUUUCUUCAGAAUUGUAUCACAGAAAAGAUGGUGCUUCAGAUUAACAGUGAACCUGAAGGAAAAGUAGUUUCCGGCUCCAAUUUUCCUACCAUAUUGGACAAAUCUGACAACUUAGAGAAAACAUCUGUGGCUCUGGAAGGUCCACAGAAAAACUCUAUCAAGGAUGCUCUUAGCUAUGUUUCAUAUCCUUUCACAGACAAAGGAGGCAGGCUGAAAGACCAUCUAAGCUUCUGCCACCCUACUAAGCCUUCUAGAUGAUACCAGCCAGAUGUACUUGUGCAACAAUGGUCAGAGCAGCACAAAUAAGGAGCAAAUAAGGAGAAAGCGGAUGGUAAAAUCUCUGCAGAAAAAUCAGCCAUGUAGUUAAAAUACAGCAUAAAUCAGUUUUUUAGAAGUGCUUGUUUUACAUGAAGAUUAAAUCCUCAACAAUGUGACUAUUAAGAAGCUAUUUGUUUUUCAUGGUCAUACAAAGAAUCUGGAAUAAUUACAGUUAAAACAGCUCUUCAUGUUACUUAAAAAUGCCUAGAAGUAAAGGUAUUAAAGUCACAAGAAUGGAAAAAAAAAAAAAAUCACCUCUGACAUUAAAAUAAAUCUCAGAAAUUUCACCUAACA
RNAcentral lists this long non-coding RNA (1244 nucleotides) under Anas platyrhynchos platyrhynchos (common mallard). RNAcentral describes it as "lncRNA (ENSAPLG00000019066.1)". The record is from RNAcentral. Lineage: Eukaryota; Metazoa; Chordata; Aves; Anseriformes; Anatidae.